AGCGAACGCUGGCGGCAGGCCUAACACAUGCAAGUCGAACGGAUCCUUCGGGAUUAGUGGCGGACGGGUGAGUAACACGUGGGAACGUGCCCUUUGGUUCGGAACAACUCAGGGAAACUUGAGCUAAUACCGGAUGUGCCCUUCGGGGGAAAGAUUUAUCGCCAUUGGAGCGGCCCGCGUCUGAUUAGCUAGUUGGUGAGGUAACGGCCCACCAAGGCGACGAUCAGUAGCUGGUCUGAGAGGAUGAUCAGCCACACUGGGACUGAGACACGGCCCAGACUCCUACGGGAGGCAGCAGUGGGGAAUCUUGCGCAAUGGGCGAAAGCCUGACGCAGCCAUGCCGCGUGAAUGAUGAAGGUCUUAGGAUUGUAAAAUUCUUUCAGCGGGGACGAUAACGACGGUACCCGCAGAAGAAGCUCCGGCUAACUUCGUG
RNAcentral lists this ribosomal RNA (433 nucleotides) under uncultured bacterium. RNAcentral describes it as "partial 16S ribosomal RNA". It matches the Rfam family "Bacterial small subunit ribosomal RNA", at positions 29 to 507 of the family's 1533-position model. The record is from RNAcentral.